GAGUUUGAUCCUGGCUCAGAGCGAACGCUGGCGGCAGGCUUAACACAUGCAAGUCGAGCGCCCGUAGCAAUACGGGAGCGGCAGACGGGAGAGUAACACGUGGGAACGUACCCUUCAGUUCGGAAUAACCCGGGGAAACUCGGACUAAUACCGGAUACGUCCGUAAGGAGAAAGAUUUAUCGCUGAAGGAUCGGCCCGCGUCUGAUUAGCUAGUUGGUGGGGUAAUGGCCCACCAAGGCGACGAUCAGUAGCUGGUCUGAGAGGAUGAUCAGCCUCACUGGGACUGAGACACGGCCCAGACUCCUACGGGAGGCAGCAGUGGGGAAUAUUGGACAAUGGGCGAAAGCCUGAUCCAGCCAUGCCGCGUGGAUGAUGAAGGCCCUAGGGUUGUAAAGUCCUUUCGACGGGGAAGAUAAUGACGGUACCCGUAGAAGAAGCCCCGGCUAACUUCGUGCCAGCAGCCGCUGUAAG
Molecule: ribosomal RNA, 471 nt
Filed under: uncultured Alphaproteobacteria bacterium
Lineage: Bacteria; Pseudomonadati; Pseudomonadota; Alphaproteobacteria
Description: bacterial SSU rRNA
Rfam family: Bacterial small subunit ribosomal RNA
Source: RNAcentral